GAUGAAAACGCAGUGAAAUGCGAUACUUGGUGUGAAUUGCAGAAUCCCGUGAACCAUCGAGUCUUUGAACGCAAGUUGCGCCCGAAGCCAUUAGGCCGAGGGCACGCCUGCCUGGGCGUCACACGUCGUUGCCCCCCCAUCUACUCCUUCGGGAUUGCGGGGGGCGGAUGAUGGCCUCCCGUGCGCCUUGUCGCGCGGUUGGCAUAAAUGCCAAGUCCUCGGCGACGCACGCCACGACAAUCGGUGGUUGCGAAACCUCGGUUGCCCGUCGUGUGCGGUCGUCGCGCAUCGAGGGCUCGAAAAAAUUGUCGGGCUCCGGCUCGGCUUUCAACGCGACCCCAGGUCAGGCGGGGUUACCCGCUGAAUUUAAGCAUAUCAAUAAGCGGAGGA
RNAcentral lists this unclassified non-coding RNA (390 nucleotides) under soil metagenome. RNAcentral describes it as "partial contains 5.8S ribosomal RNA, internal transcribed spacer 2, and large subunit ribosomal RNA". The stretch from base 1 to 121 matches the Rfam family "5.8S ribosomal RNA", at positions 35 to 154 of the family's 154-position model. The record is from RNAcentral.